MicroRNA precursor from Sorghum bicolor (sorghum), 109 nucleotides. It matches the Rfam family "MIR5565 microRNA precursor family". The record is from Rfam. Lineage: Eukaryota; Viridiplantae; Streptophyta; Magnoliopsida; Poales; Poaceae.
GUAGUCGUAUUUACAUCAAUCCACAUCUGUUGAGGUGGAUUGGAGUGGAACUUGAACUAAAUUUCAUCCCAAUCCACACCAACACACAUGGAUUGGAGUGAAUACAACA